UACGGGGGGGGCAAGCGUUGUUCGGAAUUACUGGGCGUAAAGGGCUCGUAGGUGGCCAACUAAGUCAGACGUGAAAUCCCUCGGCUUAACCGGGGAACUGCGUCUGAUACUGGAUGGCUUGAGAUUGGGAGAGGGAUGCGGAAUUCCAGGUGUAGCGGUGAAAUGCGUAGAUAUCUGGAGGAACACCGGUGGCGAAGGCGGCAUCCUGGACCAACACUGACGCUGAGUGAGCGAAAGCCAGGGGAGCAAACGGG
RNAcentral lists this ribosomal RNA (254 nucleotides) under uncultured bacterium. RNAcentral's name for it is "partial 16S ribosomal RNA". It matches the Rfam family "Bacterial small subunit ribosomal RNA", at positions 524 to 776 of the family's 1533-position model. The record is from RNAcentral.